Molecule: ribosomal RNA, 701 nt
Filed under: Bacillus licheniformis
Lineage: Bacteria; Bacillati; Bacillota; Bacilli; Caryophanales; Bacillaceae
Description: bacterial SSU rRNA
Rfam family: Bacterial small subunit ribosomal RNA
Source: RNAcentral
GGGGAAGACUUCACAUGGACGAAGUCUGACGGAGCAACGCCGCGUGAGUGAUGAAGGUUUUCGGAUCGUAAAACUCUGUUGUUAGGGAAGAACAAGUACCGUUCGAAUAGGGCGGUACCUUGACGGUACCUAACCAGAAAGCCACGGCUAACUACGUGCCAGCAGCCGCGGUAAUACGUAGGUGGCAAGCGUUGUCCGGAAUUAUUGGGCGUAAAGCGCGCGCAGGCGGUUUCUUAAGUCUGAUGUGAAAGCCCCCGGCUCAACCGGGGAGGGUCAUUGGAAACUGGGGAACUUGAGUGCAGAAGAGGAGAGUGGAAUUCCACGUGUAGCGGUGAAAUGCGUAGAGAUGUGGAGGAACACCAGUGGCGAAGGCGACUCUCUGGUCUGUAACUGACGCUGAGGCGCGAAAGCGUGGGGAGCGAACAGGAUUAGAUACCCUGGUAGUCCACGCCGUAAACGAUGAGUGCUAAGUGUUAGAGGGUUUCCGCCCUUUAUGCUGCACCAAACGCAUUAAGCACUCCGCCUGGGGAGUACGGUCGCAAGACUGAAACUCAUAGGAAUUGACGGGGGCCCGCACAAGCGGUGGAGCAUGUGGUUUAAUUCGAAGCAACGCGAAGAACCUUACCAGGUCUUGACAUCCUCUGACAACCCUAGAGAUAGGGCUUCCCUUCGUGGGCAGACUGACAUGUGGUGCAUGGUUG